CUCUCUCUCUCUCUCUCUCUCUCUCUCUCCCUCUGCACCUGAUCUCCCUCUCCGCUCUCUCUCUGCACCUCUCCGUCUCCGCUCGAUCUCUCUCUACCUCUCUCUCCCUCCCUCUCCACUCUCGAACUCAUCACCGACACUCUCCCUCUCUUUGCCAUCUCUGUCUCUCUCAGUCUCUCUCUCCGUUUGCAGAUCUAAUAUAGCAGAGCGAUGAGAGAUUGCAGCUGAGGUUUCAUCAUCGGACGGCGUUCUUGCUAUCCAAACCUCAUUUCCAUCUAAGGUUGUAUUAAUGGAGUGGAAUGGAGGAUAUAAGGAUUCAUGUAGCGGAUCCCAAUUGGUUGGGGUAAGGCUUAGAUGAUGAUGAUGAUGAGGGAGGGAGGGUAGUGGAGCUGAUAGAAAUGGACUGCUCUAGAGAGAUGCCACCAUACUUUUCGCCAAUAAUGGUUAAACCAUACUUUCACCAAUUAUGGUUAAUAUUGGGUUAAAGGAGCUUUUUGGAUUAAAAUUGUGACCUCUCUCCCAGAA
This is a long non-coding RNA of Magnolia sinica, 525 nucleotides long. RefSeq lists it as uncharacterized. The record is from RefSeq and is a predicted model, not a curated record. The transcript is spliced from 2 exons. NCBI's taxonomy places the organism in Eukaryota, Viridiplantae, Streptophyta, Magnoliopsida, Magnoliales, Magnoliaceae.